GUCGUCAGCUCGUCCCGUGAGGUGUUAGGUUAAGUCCUAUAACGAGGGCAACCCCUGUUUUUAGUUGCCAGCACGUAAUGUUGGGAACUUUAACAAGACUUCCGGUGAAAACUGUGAGGAAGGGGGGGAUGAGGUCAAAUUAUCACGGCCCUUACGUCCUGGGCCACACACGUGGUACAAUAGGCGGUCCAGAGAGCAGCUACCUAGUGAUAGGAUGGGAAUCUAUAAAACCGUUCUCAGUUUGGAUCGGAGUUUGCAACUUGACUCCGUGAAGCUGGAAUUGCUAGUAAUAGGAUAUCACCCAUGAUCCGGGGAAUGGGUUCCCGGGCCUUGUAAACCCCGCCCGUCAAACCGUGGAAGCUGGGGUUACCAGAAGUCGGUGACCGCAAGGAGUUUCCUAGGGUAAAACUGGUAACUAGGGAUAAGUUUAAACAAGUAACUAGUACCGGAAGGAGCGCCUGGAACACCUCCUU
This 473-nucleotide ribosomal RNA is filed under the name uncultured bacterium. RNAcentral's name for it is "bacterial SSU rRNA". It matches the Rfam family "Bacterial small subunit ribosomal RNA", at positions 1051 to 1532 of the family's 1533-position model. The record is from RNAcentral.